Molecule: ribosomal RNA, 396 nt
Filed under: Ebria sp.
Lineage: Eukaryota; Cercozoa; Thecofilosea; Ebriacea
Description: partial small subunit ribosomal RNA
Rfam family: Eukaryotic small subunit ribosomal RNA
Source: RNAcentral
AUUCCAGCUCCAAUAGCGUAUAUUAAAGUUGUUGCAGUUAAAAAGCUCGUAGUUGGAUUUCUGGUUUGAUGCCCUGGCCCGCUGCUAUUUUGGUAGUGUGUGCCGGUUGUGCGUCUGCCAUCCUUCUAGGGAACGUUCCUUCUCUUCACUGAGCCGGGUUCGUGAUCUAGAUCGUUUACUUUGAAAAAAUUAGAGUGUUUAAAGCAGGCUUUUGCUAUGAAUACAUUAGCAUGGAACAAUAAUCUAGGACUUCGGCCAUAUUUUGUUGGUUUCUGUAACUGAAGUAAUGAUUGAUAGGGAUAGUUGGGGCAUUCGUAUUUAACUGUCAGAGAUGAAAUUCUUGGAUUUGUUAAAGACGGACUACUGCGAAAGCAUUUGCCAAGGAUGUUUUCAUCA